GACGAACGCUGGCGGCGUGCUUAACACAUGCAAGUCGAACGGAAAGGCCCUGCUUUUGUGGGGUGCUCGAGUGGCGAACGGGUGAGUAACACGUGAGUAACCUGCCCUUGACUUUGGGAUAACUUCAGGAAACUGGGGCUAAUACCGGAUAGGAGCUCCUGCUGCAUGGUGGGGGUUGGAAAGUUUCGGCGGUUGGGGAUGGACUCGCGGCUUAUCAGCUUGUUGGUGGGGUAGUGGCUUACCAAGGCUUUGACGGGUAGCCGGCCUGAGAGGGUGACCGGCCACAUGGGGACUGAGAUACGGCCCAGACUCCUACGGGAGGCAGUAGUGGGGAAUAUUGCACAAUGGGCGGAAGCCUGAUGCAGAAACGCCGCGUGCGGGAUGACGGCCUGCGGGUUGUAAACCGCUUUAGCCUGUGACGAAGCGUGAGUGACGGUAAUGGGUAAAGAAGCACCGGCUAACUACGUG
This 468-nucleotide ribosomal RNA is filed under the name uncultured bacterium. Its description in RNAcentral is "partial 16S ribosomal RNA". It matches the Rfam family "Bacterial small subunit ribosomal RNA", at positions 28 to 507 of the family's 1533-position model. The record is from RNAcentral.